UACGUAGGGUGCAAGCGUUUAAUCGGAAUUACUGGGCGUAAAGCGUGCGCAGGCGGUUGUGCAAGACAGAUGUGAAAUCCCCGGGCUUAACCUGGGAAUGGCAUUUGUGACUGCACGGCUAGAGUGUGUCAGAGGGGGGUAGAAUUCCACGUGUGAGCAGUGAAAUGCGUAGAUAUGUGGAGGAAUACCGAUGGCGAAGGCAGCCCCCCUGGGGAUAACACUGACGCUCAUGCACGAAAGCGUGGGGAGCAAACAGG
Molecule: ribosomal RNA, 257 nt
Filed under: uncultured bacterium
Lineage: Bacteria
Description: partial 16S ribosomal RNA
Rfam family: Bacterial small subunit ribosomal RNA
Source: RNAcentral